Molecule: ribosomal RNA, 254 nt
Filed under: uncultured bacterium
Lineage: Bacteria
Description: partial 16S ribosomal RNA
Rfam family: Bacterial small subunit ribosomal RNA
Source: RNAcentral
CACGUAGGGGGCAAGCGUUGUCCGGAUUUAUUGGGCGUAAAGAGCUCGUAGGCGGCUCGGUAAGUCGGGUGUGAAACCUCCAGGCUCAACCUGGAGACGCCACCUGAUACUGCUGUGGCUAGAGUCCGGUAGGGGAGUGUGGAACUCCUGGUGUAGCGGUGAAAUGCGCAGAUAUCAGGAGGAACACCGGUGGCGAAGGCGGGUCUCUGGGCCGUAACUGACGCUGAGGAGCGAAAGCGUGGGGAGCAAACAGG